Molecule: ribosomal RNA, 248 nt
Filed under: uncultured Eubacterium sp.
Lineage: Bacteria; Bacillati; Bacillota; Clostridia; Eubacteriales; Eubacteriaceae
Description: partial 16S ribosomal RNA
Rfam family: Bacterial small subunit ribosomal RNA
Source: RNAcentral
UACGUAUGGUGCAAGCGUUAUCCGGAUUUACUGGGUGUAAAGGGUGCGUAGGUGGCAUGGCAAGUCAGAAGUGAAAGGCCGGGGCUCAACCCCGGGACUGCUUUUGAAACUGUCAGGCUGGAGUGCAGGAGAGGAAAGCGGAAUUCCUAGUGUAGCGGUGAAAUGCGUAGAUAUCAGGAGGAACACCGGCGGCGAAGGCGGCCUGCUGGACCGAAACUGACGCUGAGGCGCGAAAGCGUGGGGAGCAA